UUGAAUAGUUAACAUUAAUAAUGGUUGGUCUUUUCAAAAGCUAAUUGACUAUUUUACAAUCGAUAACAAGAUUAAAGAUACCAAUAUCCAAACUAAUGAAUCCUGAAGUAGAUCCAAUAGAUACACUCAAGUUUACUGUCUUUGAAAAAUACCUUUGAAUUUAACGAAUUUAGAACAAUUAAAACCAAAUUUCAGAGUAUUGAUUGAAACCAAUGGGUCGGUUUGAUUGACCACUUUCUCUAGAAAAAAAAACAGUCCAAAGUGUCAAUUUGUUACCUUAUUAUUUGGCUUAAUUCUGGUAAAGUUUUUCCUUGUCAUUCCGUUCCUUAGAGAUAGAGAAGCAGAUUUACUCGAUUGUUUUUAUCCAUGAAUAAAUGAAAAAUCCAACUAUUUAAUGACCUAUCGGGCACAGAGGAAUUUAAAUUUCACUUGAACAUGCAAAUAAAUCAAAAAAUUGUUGAAUUUGGUUGAAUUGAAUUUGAUUAAAACUAAAACAUUAUAAAAAAAUAUUAAAUUUUAAACCAAAGACCAACUUAUCUUUGUUUUAAACCCAUUGUUCUCAUCGCCAUCUUACGAAAAAAUUGAAUAAUUAAACAAACACUGAUAAUUUUCCCUUUUUUAAUCAAUGAUUGACCCCUUGGAGUUGCUAACUUAAAAGCUUAAUGGUAUAAUCCUGUUGAAUUAUGUAAAUCAGUGAAGCUUUCAAUUCUUUAUAAUUGUUAUAUUACCAUCCGUUUUUCAUUAAUCUUGAUAUCUCUCUAUGUUUCACUCUCUAAUGGUGUUUACCUCUCCAAUAAUCAACAGUCUGAACCUAAUCAUAAUGGUCAAUAUUAUGUCCUGGGUUAUAACCUUUAAUCGGAUAAAAGCUAAUGAGACUUUAUCAAGGAUAGAUGAAGAGUUGAACGAAUUAUAAUUUCAAUCAUCAGCAGCAUCAUGUGUUCCUGGUCUCAUCUUUCUCUUCUCCUGAUAAAUAUCAUCAAAAUUCUUACCUCUAAGAAAAAAAGAGUUGCACAUCAAUAUUUAAUGUAAAUAACUUGGUUGGCGCCAUUAGAUCCAGUCAAACAUCUUUCUUGAUACUUACCACAUGAUGGUCACAUCUCGUUAUGUUCAUCGCCAACAGUAAACAUCAUCAGACUUACAUUUUUGGCUCCAAUUUUGAUAUUACAACAAUAUAAUUUCAAACUCCAAAUUAUGUUUAACCAUACUAUUUGCGAAACAGGUGUUCAAACAAGUGUUCAACAAUCAAGAAACCAUAAUGGCGAUGAAGAUGGAAGGACAUUGAUGGCAUCCAGCACAAUAAAGCAUUAUGCCAGCAUUAGAAGUAAAUAAUCACUGAAUAUCUUUUUUUCUGCUGCAUAAUUAUCAUCAUCAUUAAGUCAACUUGUCAGUCAACUUAUGCCUGUUAAAUUUGGCAAAAUAAGGCGGAAACUUGAUAAAUUUCUUGAUGAAUCUCUAAACUAGACCAGAUCAAAGUGGAGUAAACCAAAUCUAAUCAGAACGUUCACAAUUUUUCCGCUUUUACGCUUAUAUUUUGGCUUUUCACAUGGCUUUCCAAUUCAUGUGCAUUUUACGUUGGAUAAGCCCUGAAUGUAUAAAGCAUCAUACAAAUUUUCAAACCAAUUGGCAAACUUGACAAUGAAGGCUUGGAAAAGGGACAAUCUUCAGGAUUCUGGUUCCAUUGUUGGACUCUGGAUAAUUCAAGGCUGAAUUCAAUCGGUUCCCGCAACUGUUCAACUCCCGCCCACGUUUACGUCUAAAAUGCACAGAUUUUCCCUCAGUACUUCCACCUUUUUGCUAUCAAUUUGAAGUUAAUCAAGUAAUUCAAUUGAAACAAAGGCGAAUGAGAAGAGCUGAGUUGGGAACUAGGAUUUUCCCAGUGCCACCAUAAAUCUAACUACACAAGUAGCCACAACAAUAGUGCAACUCAAUGUGAAACAGUCUCGAUGAACUUUAAGUUUGAUUUAUUCAUUCAGAUGGAAAGAUAAAUGAAAGUAUCAAGUUUCCGGUUCACAUUGCAAGUUGAAAGGAAGAAAGGGAAACACGAAAGCAUCCAAAGAUUUAUCAUCAUGUGAUGAAGAGUUUUGUGUGUUGUCCUGUCAAAAUUGUAAACUGAUGAUGACGAUGAUGAUGGUUUUCCCAAAAAGAAGCAGAUUUAAAAUCAGAAGGAAAAUAAACAAAGACAAAAAUCUAAUUACAAAAAUCCUGGUGACGUUGGUUAACCUCUUCGCCUUACAAUUUGUUUUCCACCGGAAUGAUAACAAUUAACAAUCUGAAUUAUAGCGUAAUAAUUUUGAUGUCUUGGAAACAAUAAAUAAGAAAGCAAAAGUAACGUUGGAUUGAUUAAUGAAAUGGUUGAUGAACAUGUUUACCCGAUCCGAUGAUUUUAAACUUUCACCACAAAAUUGCAUUUUAAAUUGCUAUUUCCAAUUAUUGCAGUUAAUUUAUUGUCAAAUUUUUAUCCAGUUGAAACAAUCGUUAAAUUGAUCUCACACGAAAAAAGACUAACCAGAAUGGAAAUGACCAAGGAUGGCUUGAUUCAAUCAUUCAGAUAUCUUUAAUUUUUACAUGAUCAACACAAAACCUGAUCAUCAAUUAUCAGAUUGAUAAACAUCGUUUACUGAUCAUUGAUCUAAUGUCUUAUUGCUGUUGCAUUUCAAUGUCAAUGAAUGAACCUUUUCUUUACCUCUGCUAUUACUUUUUAAAUUGUUCAUCUUAAUCAAGUUGAUUAUCACGAUGAUCACCAUCAGCAUCCUAAUAAUCAAUUUAAUCAUUCUCAUCAUCAUUCUCAAUUCUAAUAAAUUUCCUUGCAAGGCGUGUUCAAUACUUGCAUUCAUGUAAGUAUGAAUAAAUAUAAAUCUAACCCAUUAAGGGUAAAGUCAGGUACAAACUGUAAAGCAAGCAAUCUCAAACAUUUAUCAUUUAACCUAACAAAUGGAUGGAUUCACAAAAGGUUAAGGACAUUACAAUCACUAUUGACUGCUGUGGCUAUUCCAAGUUUCGGACAUUCCAUUAUUCACUUGCUUUCCAUGAUACAGUUUAAUGUCAACGAUUCAUUAUAUUACAUGAGUAUUAUUGAAAGCUAUAUGCCCUGAGGAAGAGACAAUGAAAAUAAUUGAGUUUUUAAAUAACUUUUGGUCUCAACUGGAUGGGAAAAGCUUACUGGAAAAAUAUUUGCUGUUAUACUUUAAUCAGAUUUCAGUCUAAAAGUCAAUCAAAAAACAUUGGCAACCGGAGUUUCGUUUGGAUCAUUGAUAACUUGUUCAAUCAUCAUAUAAAUGUUGAUAAUUGUUCCAUAAUCUGUUUUUGGAUGGUAAAGCUGUUAAAAAACAGCUUACCAAUAUUUACUUCAACCAUAAUCACCUUGCUAAAUACAAGUAAACCAAAGUGAAGAAGACGCAAAACUCCCAACUCUGAAUUAUCUUCAUUUUCUUAUUUCUUUUUUUCUUUUUCUUCU
Tetranychus urticae (two-spotted spider mite) is the source of this 3454-nucleotide non-coding RNA. NCBI's taxonomy places the organism in Eukaryota, Metazoa, Arthropoda, Arachnida, Trombidiformes, Tetranychidae. The record is from RefSeq and is a predicted model, not a curated record.